GACGAACGCUGGCGGCGUGCCUAAUACAUGCAAGUAGGCCGCAGUUGCGAACGGGUGAGUAACGCGUAGGUAACUACCUAUUAGAGGGGGAUAACUAUUGGAAACGAUAGCUAAUACCGCAUACUAGUAGAUGGACCUGCGUUGUAUUAGCUAGUAGGUAGGGUAAUGGCCUACCUAGGCAACGAUACAUAGCCGACCUGAGAGGGGGAGCGGCCAAACUGGGACUGAGACACGGGCCAGACUCCUACGGGAGGCAGCAGUAGGGAAUCUUCGGGAAUGGGGGGAACCCUGACCGAGCAACGCCGCGUGAGUGAAGAAGGUUUUCGGAUCGUAAAGCUCUGUUGUUAGAGAAGCGGUAACUAACCAGAAAGGGACGGCUAACUACGUGCCAGCAGCCGCGGUAAUAC
RNAcentral lists this ribosomal RNA (407 nucleotides) under uncultured bacterium. Its description in RNAcentral is "partial 16S ribosomal RNA". It matches the Rfam family "Bacterial small subunit ribosomal RNA", at positions 28 to 526 of the family's 1533-position model. The record is from RNAcentral.